RNAcentral lists this ribosomal RNA (497 nucleotides) under uncultured bacterium. RNAcentral's name for it is "partial 16S ribosomal RNA". It matches the Rfam family "Bacterial small subunit ribosomal RNA", at positions 28 to 507 of the family's 1533-position model. The record is from RNAcentral.
GACGAACGCUGGCGGCGUGCCUAAUACAUGCAAGUUGAGCGCUGAAGGUUGGUACUUGUACCAACUGGAUGAGCAGCGAACGGGUGAGUAACGCGUGGGGAAUCUGCCUUUGAGCGGGGGACAACAUUUGGAAACGAAUGCUAAUACCGCAUAAAAACUUUAAACACAAGUUUUAAGUUUGAAAGAUGCAAUUGCAUCACUCAAAGAUGAUCCCGCGUUGUAUUAGCUAGUUGGUGAGGUAAAGGCUCACCAAGGCGAUGAUACAUAGCCGACCUGAGAGGGUGAUCGGCCACUAUGGGACUGAGACACGGCCCAAACUCCUACGGGAGGCAGCAGUAGGGAAUCUUCGGCAAUGGACGAAAGUCUGACCGAGCAACGCCGCGUGAGUGAAGAAGGUUUUCGGAUCGUAAAACUCUGUUGGUAGAGAAGAACGUUGGUGAGAGUGGAAAGCUCAUCAAGUGACGGUAACUACCCAGAAAGGGACGGCUAACUACGUG